GUCAAGUCAUCAUGCCCCUUAUGACCUGGGCUACACACGUGCUACAAUGGCCGGUACAGCGCGCAGCGAACUCGCGAGGGUAAGCAAAUCGCUUAAAACCGGUCUCAGUUCGGAUCGGAGUCUGCAACUCGACUCCGUGAAGCUGGAGUUGCUAGUAAUCCCGGAUCAGCAACGCCGGGGUGAAUACGUUCCCGGGCCUU
RNAcentral lists this ribosomal RNA (200 nucleotides) under uncultured organism. RNAcentral describes it as "partial small subunit ribosomal RNA". It matches the Rfam family "Bacterial small subunit ribosomal RNA", at positions 1184 to 1382 of the family's 1533-position model. The record is from RNAcentral.